AUGCCAGGUUAGAAUGGGUGUUCUCACAUCACUUAGAAAGGGCCACUUGGAAUGGAUGGAGCAGGUUUCUGCAGUGACCCCCCCUGAGGAAAAGUGGCAAAAUAAGAGCAGUGUCCAGGAAGGCACGGCGCAGCCGUGGAAGGGGAGGAGCGUGCGCCUUGACACCCAGGCUGCCUGUGGCCAAGGCACGCAGGACUGUGCUGCGCAGAGCAGGAAAAGGCAGUCUCGCUGUCGGGUCCCUAAAUCCCCAUCCCAUUAGCCAGGUGCCAAGAGUGAAACCUGCAAAAGGACCCUGGUUAAAUCACCGGGCGGCCACGCCACCGGCGCCCAGCGCUAAUCCCUGGGGGCCGGCAGCCUUUUUUUUUUUUUUUUUUGGUCACACGGCAGGAAGAAGAAGCUUGCUCUGGGAGCAGCUGCCACCUGCUGACAAGCAGCGGGUUGUUAUAGGGCAGAAGGGCUGGGUGGAGCCACAGAAAAUCACUGCCAUUCCUCUGGUUUCAACAGACCUGCACCAGUGACACUUUCCUGGGAUUCCUGCAGAGAGGGAGCCUCGUCUGCAACUGGUUUCAUUCCAUCAGCCCAGAAGUGAGAAAUGGAGUAUUUCCUGCCAUAGGAAUAAACAAGGAUGCCACAGUCAUCAGUGAUUUCGGCCUUCGAUAUGUGAAUUUCUGAGCCUGGAGGGCGCCCGGGAAAAACACCACCUGUGAACCAGUAGCCAUCAGGCUGCCACCACUCCCUCCGUUCUCUCAGGCCACUUUGAGAUGCUGUUUCACCUGGAUUUGAAGACCUAAAAAUUCUCACCAAAUAAAACAUAACU
This is a long non-coding RNA of Capra hircus (goat), 817 nucleotides long. RefSeq lists it as uncharacterized. The record is from RefSeq and is a predicted model, not a curated record. NCBI's taxonomy places the organism in Eukaryota, Metazoa, Chordata, Mammalia, Artiodactyla, Bovidae. The transcript is spliced from 3 exons.